Non-coding RNA from Paramuricea clavata, 242 nucleotides. Lineage: Eukaryota; Metazoa; Cnidaria; Anthozoa; Malacalcyonacea; Plexauridae. The record is from the annotation of a GenBank genome assembly.
UAAAUAUGUUGAUAUGAGCACCUGUAUGAGUACUUCCGCACACCGGAAGGCGCAUGCAUGCCGUGUUUCGCAUGUCCAGUAGCGACAAUAACAAAAAUGUAAACAAUACUUAAGGUGGCUUUUCAACUAAAAAAUGACUGUAGGCCCCUUUAAAAGACAAUGUCAGUGUUGAAUAACGUAGUGGGCUACUGGGCUUAUAUUCGGGGGACUUAUAUUUGGUGGUCUUAUAUUCUGGGGGCGGG